CCAAUCGAACCCGGAGAUAGCUGGUUCUCCUCGAAAUAGCUUUAGGGCUAGCCUCGCAUUAGUUUACCGGAGGUAGAGCACUGAAUGGUCUAGGGGGCCUCACCGCCUACCGAAACCUAUCAAACUGCGAAUGCCGGAUAAAUGAUGUGCGGGAGUCAGGCCGCGAGAGAUAAGUUCCGCGGUCAAAAGGGGAACACCCCAGAUCGUCUGCUAAGGUCCCCAAGUACGCGUUAAGUGGGAAAGGAUGUUGGAUUGCACAGACAACCAGGAUGUUGGCUUAGAAGCAGCCACACAUUCAAAGAGUGCGUAAUAGCUCACUGGUCGAGUGAUCCAGCGCCGAAAAUGUAACGGGGCUAAAACGCGACACCGAAGCAGCGGGAUGCGUAAGCAUCGGUAGAGGAGCAUUGUGUGAGGGUCGAAGCCAGAGCGGGAGCACUGGUGGACUUCACAGAAGAGAGAAUGCCGGUAUGAGUAGCGAGACCCAUGCGAGAAACAUGGGCGUCGAAGGCCCAAGGUUUCCUGGGGAAGGUUCAUCCACCCAGGGUAAGUCGGGACCUAAGCCGAGGACUGAGGUCGUAGGCGAUGGACAGCAGGUAGAGAUUCCUGCACCACUUACACUUGUUUGACGAAGCAGUGACACAGAAGGAUAGGACGAGCGCGGUGAUGGUCAACCGCGUAGGCGGCACGAGGCCGGGGAGCAGUGAAGUACACUUCCCGCGAAGGCUGAGUGUUGACAGGACCGAAAAGAAGUAGGGAAGCGUCCGAGUUCACGCUGGCGAGAAAAGCUGCUAAGGAGAGUGUGAGUGCCCGUACCGGAAACCGACGCAGGUGGGCGAGGAGAGAAUCCUGAGACGGACGGGAGAACUCUUGUUAAGGAACUCGGCAAAAUGACCCCGUAACUUCGGGAGAAGGGGUGCCUCGAAAGAGGCCGCAGAGAAUAGUCACAAGCGACUGUUUAGCAAAAACACAGGUAUCUGCGAAAGCGAGAGCUGACGUAUAGGUGCUGACGCCUGCCCGGUGCUGGAAGGUUAAGGGGAAGUGUUAGGGGAAACCCGAAGCAGAGAACCGAAGCCCCAGUAAACGGCGGCCGUAACUAUAACGGUCCUAAGGUAGCGAAAUUCCUUGUCGGGUAAGUUCCGACCCGCACGAAUGGCGUAACGACUUGUGAGCUGUCUCAACAGGAGGCCCGGUGAAAUUGAAGUAUGUGUGAAGAUGCACAUUACCCGCGACUGGACGGAAAGACCCCGUAGAGCUUUACUGUAACCUGACAUUGGAUCUUGAUAACGGAUGCACAGGAUAGGUGGGACGCUGGGAGACGAGGACUUUGGUUUUCGUGGAGCGGCCGUUGGGAUACCACUCUUCUGUUAUUGAGAUUCUAACCUCAAGCCGUGAGCCGGAUGAGAGACAGUGUCAGGCGGACAGUUUGACUGGGGCGGUCGCCUCCGAAAGAGUAACGGAGGCGCCCAAAGGUACCCUCAGAAUGGAUGGAAACCAUUCGAAGAGAGCAAAGUCAGAAGGGUGCUUGACUGCGAGACCAACAAGUCGAGCAGGUACGAAAGUAGGGCUUAGUGAUCCGGCGGUAAGAGAGUGGAAUUGCCGUCGCUCAACGGAUAAAAGCUACCUCGGGGAUAACAGGCUGAUCUCCCCCAAGAGUUCACAUCGACGGGGAGGUUUGGCACCUCGAUGUCGGCUCAUCGCAUCCUGGAGCUGAAGUCGGUUCCAAGGGUUGGGCUGUUCGCCCAUUAAAGCGGUACGCGAGCUGGGUUCAGAACGU
Molecule: ribosomal RNA, 1774 nt
Filed under: human gut metagenome
Description: bacterial LSU rRNA
Rfam family: Bacterial large subunit ribosomal RNA
Source: RNAcentral